RNAcentral lists this ribosomal RNA (1287 nucleotides) under Arthrobacter sp. YNc-6. RNAcentral's name for it is "bacterial SSU rRNA". It matches the Rfam family "Bacterial small subunit ribosomal RNA", at positions 90 to 1386 of the family's 1533-position model. The record is from RNAcentral. Lineage: Bacteria; Bacillati; Actinomycetota; Actinomycetes; Micrococcales; Micrococcaceae.
GAUUAGUGGCGAACGGGUGAGUAACACGUGAGUAACCUGCCCUUGACUCUGGGAUAAGCCUGGGAAACUGGGUCUAAUACCGGAUAUGACCGACUAUCGCAUGGUGGUUGGUGGAAAGCUUUUGUGGUUUUGGAUGGACUCGCGGCCUAUCAGCUUGUUGGUGGGGUAAUGGCCUACCAAGGCGACGACGGGUAGCCGGCCUGAGAGGGUGACCGGCCACACUGGGACUGAGACACGGCCCAGACUCCUACGGGAGGCAGCAGUGGGGAAUAUUGCACAAUGGGCGCAAGCCUGAUGCAGCGACGCCGCGUGAGGGAUGACGGCCUUCGGGUUGUAAACCUCUUUCAGUAGGGAAGAAGCCGCAAGGUGACGGUACCUGCAGAAGAAGCGCCGGCUAACUACGUGCCAGCAGCCGCGGUAAUACGUAGGGCGCAAGCGUUAUCCGGAAUUAUUGGGCGUAAAGAGCUCGUAGGCGGUUUGUCGCGUCUGCCGUGAAAGUCCGGGGCUUAACUCCGGAUCUGCGGUGGGUACGGGCAGACUAGAGUGAUGUAGGGGAGACUGGAAUUCCUGGUGUAGCGGUGAAAUGCGCAGAUAUCAGGAGGAACACCGAUGGCGAAGGCAGGUCUCUGGGCAUUAACUGACGCUGAGGAGCGAAAGCAUGGGGAGCGAACAGGAUUAGAUACCCUGGUAGUCCAUGCCGUAAACGUUGGGCACUAGGUGUGGGGGACAUUCCACGUUUUCCGCGCCGUAGCUAACGCAUUAAGUGCCCCGCCUGGGGAGUACGGCCGCAAGGCUAAAACUCAAAGGAAUUGACGGGGGCCCGCACAAGCGGCGGAGCAUGCGGAUUAAUUCGAUGCAACGCGAAGAACCUUACCAAGGCUUGACAUGAACCAGACCGGGCUGGAAACAGUUCUUCCCCUUUGGGGUUGGUUUACAGGUGGUGCAUGGUUGUCGUCAGCUCGUGUCGUGAGAUGUUGGGUUAAGUCCCGCAACGAGCGCAACCCUCGUUCCAUGUUGCCAGCGGGUAGUGCCGGGGACUCAUGGGAGACUGCCGGGGUCAACUCGGAGGAAGGUGGGGACGACGUCAAAUCAUCAUGCCCCUUAUGUCUUGGGCUUCACGCAUGCUACAAUGGCCGGUACAAAGGGUUGCGAUACUGUGAGGUGGAGCUAAUCCCAAAAAGCCGGUCUCAGUUCGGAUUGGGGUCUGCAACUCGACCCCAUGAAGUCGGAGUCGCUAGUAAUCGCAGAUCAGCAACGCUGCGGUGAAUACGUUCCCGGGCCUUGUAC